RNAcentral lists this ribosomal RNA (796 nucleotides) under Porosira glacialis. RNAcentral describes it as "LSU rRNA". It matches the Rfam family "Eukaryotic large subunit ribosomal RNA", at positions 70 to 854 of the family's 3401-position model. Lineage: Eukaryota; Bacillariophyta; Thalassiosirophyceae; Thalassiosirales; Thalassiosiraceae. The record is from RNAcentral.
AAUGAUACACCUAGUAAGGGCGACUGAACAGUGUGAAGCUCACCGUGUGAAUCUGUGUAACCCAUUUGACUCCGGUCUUUUGGGUGCACCGAAUUGUGGUCUGAAGAAGUAUUGUCGGUUGCAGUCCCGGACCAAGUCCCUUGGAAAAGGGCAGCUGAGAGGGUGAGACUCCCGUUCUUGUCUGGGAACUGUGUGCCAUGGCACAUGCUUUCAACGAGUCGUGUUGAUUGGGAUUUCAGCACAAAUUCUGUGGUAAAUGCCACAUAAAGCUAAAUAUUGGUGGGAGACCGAUAGCGCACAAGUACCGUGAGGGAAAGAUGCAAAGAACUUUGAAAAGAGAGUUAAAGAGUACCUGAAAUUGCUGAAAGGGAAGCGAAGGAAACCAGUGCCGUAGUGUUGUCAUACUUCCCCUUCUGCUUGCGGAUGGGGCGCUGUGACAGUACGUGGAUCAGCAUCAACUUUACCUUGGACCAAAUGGGUGAUUGGUAGACAGCCCCUUUCGAGGGGCCAGUGCUAGUCAUUUCUGGUCUGAGCGAGGUUGAGGUCAGUCAUUCUGUGCUCGUGAUGCUGAUGAAAUGGUUUUCUUUACCCCGUCUUGAAACACGGACCAAGGAGUCUAAGAUUUGUGCGAGUAAAAAGGUGGUAAACCUUUAUGCGUAAUGAAAGUAACAGUGGUUAGAAGUCGUUAAGACAUGCAUAAUCCGCCGGCUUCAAUCUUACGAGAGAAAGGUCUGAGUGUGAGCGCAAAUCUUGGGACCCGAAAGAUGGUGAACUAUGCUUGAGUAGGGUGAAGCAA